Gallus gallus (chicken) is the source of this 1569-nucleotide long non-coding RNA. Lineage: Eukaryota; Metazoa; Chordata; Aves; Galliformes; Phasianidae. The record is from Ensembl.
CUCAGCUGUGUGAUGAAGUGGGUAAAGGAGUUGGCCAGGGGGACUGAUGGUGUCAGAAACCAACCCGCCAUUCCCACCCCACCUCGUGUCCCUGGAGCCUCCAAGAGGAAGUUGCAUCCCCAUGCCGACUGAGCAGUUGCAUUCUUGCAUCCCAGGACUCCUGGCCAACAGAGCACCAUGAAGCUGUGCCUCAGGUACAGAGGCCACUAACACCUGAAUGAGACAUAGAAGUGCUCUGAACAGCAAGCCCAAGCACUGCUAACCCGCUUAUGAGAAGCUGGCUGACACAAUCCAUCCGCUUCCCGAGGCCUGAGAAGAAUAUGAAAUCAGAUUAAUCAGAUGAAGACGACUCAUCUGAAUCCCAUCACAUCAGGGUGAGGCUGUAAGCGGAAGGGUGCUGGGCACUCUGGUGUCCUAAACACCACCUACAAAGCAGAUCUGCAGAAUGGGACAGAAAGGAAUCAAUUAAAUAUAUCUCUGCUGCACUCAACGCAGUUCCAUGGGUGUCUGCAGAAAUUAGGGGUUCCACAUCCUUCCCAAGGGCUCUGCUGCACCACUCCCUUUCUCUCUCAUCGCCAAUAAGGGCUGGGCGUCCCGCCGAGCUCGGGAUGGACAGGUGAUAUUUAAUGACAGUUUUUCAAGUUGCUUUUCCCAGAGCCAUUACAAAACGUACAACCAGCACAAAUCUGACUGUAGGGUGAAUUUGCCACCUUGAAAUCAAAUUCUCAUGGAAAUGAAAUGGCUGACCCCAAAUCCCCCGAAUGCUGGAUGAGCUCGCAUGAUAAACAACUUGUAAUGGCUCUGCUGGCGCUACCGACUCUGUUAAAUGUCACUGCUUCUCUAAAUACCUUCCGGGAGAUGACUGCUCUAUCUGUAUUCUGUAUUUUCCCCUUUUUAAUAUCAGCGUCUGCAAUGUUGCCAUCCUGGAAGCCAUUGUCCAGGGAUUGCAGAGAGCCUCAGACUCAUUUUGCUCUCUGUCACGUCAGUCAUUUCUCAGUAUCCACAUCAGUGUUUAGCUCACAACAACUUUACAGCAAGCUGCCUGCUGCCUGGCAGGCCAGGCUGGCACAGACCCCACUCUGCUCCUCUGGAAGGGCCGUGCACAGCCCCAUGGGGACACAUCUGCUGGUCGCUGCUGCCAAGCCCUUAUGGUCAUCAGCAUCACCACCUGGUCUUGCUUCCCUUUCAAGACCACUUCUUGUUUUAAGUCAGCAGAAUGAUCGCUUCAUGCUUUUAUUACACGGAUCUAUAUUUGGGGUGCUGAAAAUGGUUUGCAUCUAAUUAGCCUACCCCAUCCCCCCCCAAAAAAGGUGCCAAACUCAUCUUGUUAAACCACAUGAGCAACACCAUGCAGAUAGCCCAGCACAGCAGGUGCAUUCUGUCACAUAGCAAACCCUGCAUUGCUGUCUCUAAAUGUCUGAAAGUCUGUAAAACAGCUCUAAAUACAAUUAGGGAGCAGUGGAAGCAAAAUGACUGGGGCAUUUGCAUCCAGCUGCUUGCCUGGAGCAUGGGCUGCUGUGUGCAGAGCUCAAGGAUUCAAGCGUUGGCCACAAUAGCAGUAACACAGAG